This 68-nucleotide transfer RNA is filed under the name Marmota monax (woodchuck). Its description in RNAcentral is "tRNA.Ala". The stretch from base 7 to 63 matches the Rfam family "tRNA", at positions 8 to 63 of the family's 71-position model. Rfam says of the family: Transfer RNA (tRNA) molecules are approximately 80 nucleotides in length. Their secondary structure includes four short double-helical elements and three loops (D, anti-codon, and T loops). The record is from RNAcentral. Lineage: Eukaryota; Metazoa; Chordata; Mammalia; Rodentia; Sciuridae.
GGAUUCUAGCUCAGUGGUAGAGCGCUUGCCUAGCAUGCUUGAGGCACUGGGUUCAAUCCCCAGCACCA